RNAcentral lists this ribosomal RNA (488 nucleotides) under uncultured bacterium. RNAcentral's name for it is "bacterial SSU rRNA". It matches the Rfam family "Bacterial small subunit ribosomal RNA", at positions 30 to 510 of the family's 1533-position model. The record is from RNAcentral.
AUUGAACGCUGGCGGCAUGCCUUACACAUGCAAGUCGAACGGCAGCACGGGAGCAAUCCUGGUGGCGAGUGGCGAACGGGUGAGUAAUAUAUCGGAACGUGCCCAGUCGUGGGGAUAACGUAGCGAAAGCUACGCUAAUACCGCAUACGAUCUAUGGAUGAAAGCGGGGGACUCGCAAGAGCCUCGCGCGAUUGGAGCGGCCGAUAUCAGAUUAGGUAGUUGGUGGGGUAAAGGCUCACCAAGCCAACGAUCUGUAGCUGGUCUGAGAGGACGACCAGCCACACUGGAACUGAGACACGGUCCAGACUCCUACGGGAGGCAGCAGUGGGGAAUUUUGGACAAUGGACGCAAGUCUGAUCCAGCCAUUCCGCGUGCAGGAUGAAGGCCCUCGGGUUGUAAACUGCUUUUGUACGGAACGAAAGGUUUCUCUUAAUACGAGGAGCUCAUGACGGUACCGUAAGAAUAAGACACCGGCUAACUACGUGCCA